Molecule: ribosomal RNA, 331 nt
Filed under: uncultured bacterium
Lineage: Bacteria
Description: bacterial SSU rRNA
Rfam family: Bacterial small subunit ribosomal RNA
Source: RNAcentral
GAUGAACGCUGGCGGCGUGCUUAAUACAUGCAAGUCGAGCGAAGCACUUUAACGGAAUUCUCCGGAAGGAAGGUAAAGUGACUGAGCGGCGGACGGGUGAGUAACACGUGGGUAACCUGCCUAUAAGACUGGAAUAACUUCGGGAAACCGGAGCUAAUGCCGGAUAACAUUUGGAACCGCAUGGUUCUAAAGUAAAAGAUGGUUUUUGCUAUCACUUAUAGAUGGACCCGCGCCGUAUUAGCUAGUUGGCGGGGUAACGGCCCACCAAGGCGACGAUCAGUAGCCGGACUGAGAGAUUGACCGGCCACAUUGGGACUGAGAUACGGCCCAG